Molecule: ribosomal RNA, 455 nt
Filed under: uncultured delta proteobacterium
Lineage: Bacteria; Deltaproteobacteria
Description: bacterial SSU rRNA
Rfam family: Bacterial small subunit ribosomal RNA
Source: RNAcentral
CCGUGAGGAGUUGGGUUAAGUCCGCAACGAGCGCAACCCUAUUGUUAGUUGCCAUCACAUAAUGGUGGGCACUCUAAUGAGACUGCCCGGGUCAACCGGGAGGAAGGUGGGGACGACGUCAAGUCAUCAUGGCCCUUACGGCCAGGGCUACACACGUGCUACAAUGGUGCAUACAAAGGGUUGCGAAACCGCGAGGUCAAGCCAAUCCCAAAAAAUGCAUCCCAGUCCGGAUCGGAGUCUGCAACUCGACUCGCGUGAAGUUGGAAUCGCUAGUAAUCCGCGGAAUCAGCAAUGUCGGGGUGAAUACGUUCCCGGGCCUUGUACACACCGCCCGUCACACCAACUGAGAGAGCUGGGUUCUAACCAGAACAGUGGCGAGAUCUAAACCCUUCGGGAAGGUAGGUCUAUCUACGGUAUGAGCUCGAGUGACUUGGGGUGAAGUCCGUAACAAGGUA